AAAUAAUUUUUAAUGGCCGCAGUAUUUUGACUGUGCAAAGGUAGCAUAAUCGUUAGUUUUUUAAUUGAAAUCUUGUAUGAAUGGUUUGACAAAAAAAAAUCUGUCUUUAUAAUUAUUUAUUGAAUUUAACUUUUAAGUGAAAAGGCUUAAAUAAAUUAAAAAGACGAUAAGACCCUAUAAAACUUAAUAUUAAUUUUUUAUUUUAAUAAAAUUUUUAGUAAUAUAAAUAUUUAGUAAUUAGUUUUAUUUUAUUGGGGUGAUAAUAAUAAAAUGAUUAUUAACUGUUAAUUGUAUUUAUAACAAAUAUAAGUGAAUAAAAUAAGUAUAUUGAUUUAUAAAUGGUCCUAUAUAAAGAUUAAAAGUUUAAGUUACUUUAGGGAUAACAGCGCCAUUUUUUUUGAGAGUUCUUAUCGAAAAAAAAGUUUGCGACCUCGAUGUUGAAUUAAAAUAUCUGUAUAAUUGUAGCAGUUAUAUAAGAAGGUCUGUUCGACCUUUAAAUUUUUACAUGAUUUGAGUUCAAACCGGUGUAAGCCAGGUUGGUUUCUAUCUUUUAAUAAGUUAAUAAUUA
Molecule: ribosomal RNA, 568 nt
Filed under: Leptarma gazi
Lineage: Eukaryota; Metazoa; Arthropoda; Malacostraca; Decapoda; Sesarmidae
Description: Parasesarma gazi partial 16S ribosomal RNA
Rfam family: Bacterial large subunit ribosomal RNA (bases 379-538)
Source: RNAcentral